Sphaerodactylus townsendi is the source of this 125-nucleotide long non-coding RNA. RefSeq lists it as uncharacterized. Lineage: Eukaryota; Metazoa; Chordata; Lepidosauria; Squamata; Sphaerodactylidae. The record is from RefSeq and is a predicted model, not a curated record. The transcript has 3 exons.
GUCAUCUUGAACUUUUCAUAACUUAUAAUUUUAUGAUGCUUUCUGCUAAUCUAGGAAGCUGAACAUAUCUCAGCCAUCUUGUUUGUCAGCCAUUUUUACAAAUCCUGACAAAUCUAGGAGCCAAG